AGAGUUUGAUCCUGGCUCAGGACGAACGCUGGCGGCGUGCUUAACACAUGCAAGUCGAACGGAAAGGCCCUUCGGGGUACUCGAGUGGCGAACGGGUGAGUAACACGUGGGUGAUCUGCCCUGCACUUUGGGAUAAGCCUGGGAAACUGGGUCUAAUACCGAAUAGGACCGCAUGCUUCAUGGUGUGUGGUGGAAAGCUUUUGCGGUGUGGGAUGGGCCCGCGGCCUAUCAGCUUGUUGGUGAGGUAAUGGCUUACCAAGGCGACGACGGGUAGCCGGCCUGAGAGGGUGACCGGCCACACUGGGACUGAGAUACGGCCCAGACUCCUACGGGAGGCAGCAGUGGGGAAUAUUGCACAAUGGGCGCAAGCCUGAUGCAGCGACGCCGCGUGAGGGAUGACGGCCUUCGGGUUGUAAACCUCUUUCGCCAGGGACGAAGCGCAAGUGACGGUACCUGGAGAAGAAGGACCGGCCAACUACGUGCCAGCAGCCGCGGUAAUACGUAGGGUCCGAGCGUUGUCCGGAAUUACUGGGCGUAAAGAGCUCGUAGGUGGUUUGUCGCGUUGUUCGUGAAAACUCACAGCUUAACUGUGGGCGUGCGGGCGAUACGGGCAGACUUGAGUACUGCAGGGGAGACUGGAAUUCCUGGUGUAGCGGUGGAAUGCGCAGAUAUCAGGAGGAACACCGGUGGCGAAGGCGGGUCUCUGGGCAGUAACUGACGCUGAGGAGCGAAAGCGUGGGGAGCGAACAGGAUUAGAUACCCUGGUAGUCCACGCCGUAAACGGUGGGUACUAGGUGUGGGUUUCCUUCCUUGGGAUCCGUGCCGUAGCUAACGCAUUAAGUACCCCGCCUGGGGAGUACGGCCGCAAGGCUAAAACUCAAAGAAAUUGACGGGGGCCCGCACAAGCGGCGGAGCAUGUGGAUUAAUUCGAUGCAACGCGAAGAACCUUACCUGGGUUUGACAUGCACAGGACGCCGGCAGAGAUGUCGGUUCCCUUGUGGCCUGUGUGCAGGUGGUGCAUGGCUGUCGUCAGCUCGUGUCGUGAGAUGUUGGGUUAAGUCCCGCAACGAGCGCAACCCUUGUCUCAUGUUGCCAGCACGUUAUGGUGGGGACUCGUGAGAGACUGCCGGGGUCAACUCGGAGGAAGGUGGGGAUGACGUCAAGUCAUCAUGCCCCUUAUGUCCAGGGCUUCACACAUGCUACAAUGGCCGGUACAAAGGGCUGCGAUGCCGUGAGGUGGAGCGAAUCCUUUCAAAGCCGGUCUCAGUUCGGAUCGGGGUCUGCAACUCGACCCCGUGAAGUCGGAGUCGCUAGUAAUCGCAGAUCAGCAACGCUGCGGUGAAUACGUUCCCGGGCCUUGUACACACCGCCCGU
This 1374-nucleotide ribosomal RNA is filed under the name Mycolicibacterium gilvum. RNAcentral describes it as "bacterial SSU rRNA". It matches the Rfam family "Bacterial small subunit ribosomal RNA". The record is from RNAcentral. Lineage: Bacteria; Bacillati; Actinomycetota; Actinomycetes; Mycobacteriales; Mycobacteriaceae.